This 29-nucleotide small RNA is filed under the name Bombyx mori (domestic silkworm). RNAcentral's name for it is "ovarian small RNA-38259". Lineage: Eukaryota; Metazoa; Arthropoda; Insecta; Lepidoptera; Bombycidae. The record is from RNAcentral.
UUUAUGUUUGUGCUGGACUCACAAGUCGU